GCUUACACAUGCAAGUCGAGCGGUAGCACAGGGGAAGCUUGCUCCCUGGGUGACGAGCGCCGGACGGGUGAUUAAUGUCUGGGAAACUGCCUGAUGGAGGGGGAUAACUACUGGAAACGGUAGCUAAUACCGCAUAACGUCGCAAGACCAAAGAGGGGGACCUUCGGGCCUCUUGCCAUCAGAUGUGCCCAGAUGGGAUUAGCUAGUAGGUGGGGUAAUGGCUCACCUAGGCGACGAUCCCUAGCUGGUCUGAGAGGAUGACCAGCCACACUGGAACUGAAACACGGUCCAAACUCCUACGGGAGGCAGCAGUGGGGAAUAUUGCACAAGGGGCGCAAGCCUGAUGCACCCAUGCCGCGUGUGUGAAGAAGGCCUUCGGGUUGUAAAGCAUUUUCAGCGAGGAGGAAGGUGGUGAGCUUAAUACGCUCAUCAAUUGACGUUACUCGCAAAAAAACCACCGGCUAACUCCGUGCCAGCAGCCGCGGUAAUACGGAGGGUGCAAGCGUUAAUCGGAAUUACUGGGCGUAAAGCGCACGCAGGCGGUUUGUUAAGUCAGAUGUGAAAUCCCCGGGCUCAACCUGGGAACUGCAUUUGAAACUGGCAAGCUAGAGUCUCGUAGAGGGGGGUAGAAUUCCAGGUGUAGCGGUGAAAUGCGUAAAGAUCUGGAGGAAUACCGGUGGCGAAGGCGGCCCCCUGGACGAAGACUGACGCUCAGGUGCGAAAGCGUGGGGAGCAAACAGGAUUAGAU
Molecule: ribosomal RNA, 748 nt
Filed under: Serratia marcescens
Lineage: Bacteria; Pseudomonadati; Pseudomonadota; Gammaproteobacteria; Enterobacterales; Yersiniaceae
Description: bacterial SSU rRNA
Rfam family: Bacterial small subunit ribosomal RNA
Source: RNAcentral